RNAcentral lists this long non-coding RNA (1125 nucleotides) under Brassica rapa (field mustard). Its description in RNAcentral is "long non-coding RNA (BRAP_LNC002114)". Lineage: Eukaryota; Viridiplantae; Streptophyta; Magnoliopsida; Brassicales; Brassicaceae. The record is from RNAcentral.
UCUGCAUCGUCCUCAUCGCCGGCGUCGGAGGUCAAGCUCCGUCGUCACCACCAACCACCACACCAGCACCACCCACCACAACAACUCCCCCGCCAGCAGCCACUCCUCCUCCUGUCUCAGCUCCUCCACCAGUCACAACUUCUCCUCCUCCAGCCACCACCGCUCCUCCUCCUGCUACUCCUCCUCCAGUCGCUUCUCCUCCUCCGGCCACUCCUCCUCCAGUGGCAACUCCUCCUCCAGCAACUCCCCCUCCCGUCGCAUCUCCUCCUCCAGCAACUCCUCCACCCGUCGCAUCUCCUCCUCCAGCAACGCCUCCUCCAGCUCCUCUUGCAUCUCCUCCCGCUCAGGUUCCAGCUCUUGCUCCUACGACGCCAGACGCUCCCUCUACAUCUCCGUCGUCUAGCCCGCCUCUCCCGGCCACUGAUGGCCCUGGACCGAGCGCCGAAGGGCCAGGACCUUCCACAGAUUCGAAUGACCAGGUCCGUAAUUUCUUCUCAUUUGACUUGGAUCUUGUACAAUGUGUUUCAGAUCUGAGAUGGUUUUGACUUUGAAAAAUGAGGUGAUCACUGUCCAUGAUUAGAUCUAAAACUAGUCUUGUCUCUCGAAAAUUAUGAUUAGCGCAAUUUAGCAGAAGAAUCCUAGUAUGUUAUAAAGUGAGCAGUUGCAAGCGCAAUUUAGGAAGAUAUGUUAAUCUGCGCCCGUAUCGUAUUUGCCGAUUUUCGGACAGUGCUACUGCAUCUGUCUCGAGAUCUUCGAACUCGAGCCGUGGGCGCGUGGGGUGCCGGAGUCACGUUAGCUUUGUCAGUAUGAACGUGAACAAUAAAUAACUUCCACGUGUUGAUCUUAAAAGCAGAUCUUGCUUUUGACAAAAAAGUAGAUCUAGAUUUACUUUAGUCUUUAGUCAAUAAAAUAAGUCCGAAAGCAUGCAUGAAUGACGGAGUUCUUUAAAGUCUGCAGUAUUACUUUAUUACUAUAUUUUAGAAACUUUUCAAACGAUAACCCGGAUUAAUAAAUGCUAUUAAAACUUCUAUUUUAAAUUAAUUAUGUUGGAAUUAUAACAUCAGAUUACAAAGAUGCUUCUGUAACCAAUAAAAAUGAAAUGCUGAUCCAAUCUCUUAUGUAUUG